UACAGAGGUCCCAAGCGUUGUUCGGAUUCACUGGGCGUAAAGGGUGCGUAGGUGGUCGGGUAAGUUUGGUGUGAAAUCUCCGAGCUCAACUCGGAAACGGCACUAAAAACUACUCGGCUGGAGGGUCGGAAGGGGGGCUGGAAUUCUCGGUGUAGCAGUGAAAUGCGUAGAUAUCGAGAGGAACACCAGUGGCGAAAGCGAGUCCCUGGACGACUCCUGACACUGAGGCACGAAAGCUAGGGGAGCAAACAGG
RNAcentral lists this ribosomal RNA (253 nucleotides) under uncultured bacterium. Its description in RNAcentral is "partial 16S ribosomal RNA". It matches the Rfam family "Bacterial small subunit ribosomal RNA", at positions 524 to 776 of the family's 1533-position model. The record is from RNAcentral.